RNAcentral lists this ribosomal RNA (468 nucleotides) under uncultured bacterium. Its description in RNAcentral is "partial 16S ribosomal RNA". It matches the Rfam family "Bacterial small subunit ribosomal RNA", at positions 28 to 507 of the family's 1533-position model. The record is from RNAcentral.
GACGAACGCUGGCGGCGUGCUUAACACAUGCAAGUCGAACGGAAAGGCCCUGCUUUUGUGGGGUGCUCGAGUGGCGAACGGGUGAGUAACACGUGUGUAACCUGCCCUUGACUUUGGGAUAACUUCAGGAAACUGGGGCUAAUACCGGAUAGGAGCUCCUGCUGCAUGGUGGGGGUUGGAAAGUUUCGGCGGUUGGGGAUGGACUCGCGGCUUAUCAGCUUGUUGGUGGGGUAGUGGCUUACCAAGGCUUUGACGGGUAGCCGGCCUGAGAGGGUGACCGGCCACAAUGGGACUAAGAGACGGAGCAGUCGGCAACGGGAGGCAGCAGGGGGGAGUAUUGCACAGUGGGCGGGAGCGUGAGACAGAAGCGCCGCGUGCGUGAUGACGGCCUUCGGGGUGAGAACAGCUGUCGCCUGAGACGAAGCGUGAGUGACGGUAAUGGGUAAAGAAGCACCGGCUAACUACGUG